AGUGAACGCUGGCGGUAGGCCUAACACAUGCAAGUCGAACGGCAGCACAGCAUGAGCUUGCUCUUACGGGUGGCGAGUGGCGGACGGGUGAGGAAUACAUCGGAAUCUACUUUUUCGUGGGGGAUAACGUAGGGAAACUUACGCUAAUACCGCAUACGACCUACGGGUGAAAGCAGGGGAUCUUCGGACCUUGCGCGAUUGAAUGAGCCGACGUCGGAUUAGCUAGUUGGCGGGGUAAAGGCCCACCAAGGCGACGAUCCGUAGCUGGUCUGAGAGGAUGAUCAGCCACACUGGAACUGAGACACGGUCCAGACUCCUACGGGAGGCAGCAGUGGGGAAUAUUGGACAAUGGGCGCAAGCCUGAUCCAGCCAUACCGCGUGGGUGAAGAAGGCCUUCGGGUUGUAAAGCCCUUUUGUUGGGAAAGAAAAGCAGCAGGUUAAUACCCCGCUGUUCUGACGGUACCCAAAGAAUAAGCACCGGCUAACUUCGUG
RNAcentral lists this ribosomal RNA (492 nucleotides) under uncultured bacterium. Its description in RNAcentral is "partial 16S ribosomal RNA". It matches the Rfam family "Bacterial small subunit ribosomal RNA", at positions 29 to 507 of the family's 1533-position model. The record is from RNAcentral.